AGACAUGAAGUCAAGUCAGCAAACCCGCUGAAUUUAAGCAUAUAAGUAAGCGGAGGAUAAGAAACUAAAUAGGAUUCCCUCAGUAAUGGCGAAUGAACAGGGAUGAGCUCAGCAUGGAAAUCGGGGUCUGCGACCUUGAAUUGUAGUCUGGAGAUGUAUCACCAACUGGGGCGCAGAUGUAAGCCUUUUGGAACAAAGCAUCAAUGAGGGUGAAAGUCCCGUCUGGCAUCUGCAGUCCCCAGUGCUCGGUGUACCUUCUAAGAGUCACGUUCCUCGGGAUUGGAGCGCAAAUUGGGUGGUAAAUUUCAUCUAAAGCUAAAUAUUGUUUCGAUACCGAUAGCAAACAAGUACCAUGAGGGAAAGGUGAAAAGGACUUU
Molecule: ribosomal RNA, 377 nt
Filed under: Scrippsiella ramonii
Lineage: Eukaryota; Dinophyceae; Peridiniales; Peridiniaceae
Description: partial large subunit ribosomal RNA
Rfam family: Eukaryotic large subunit ribosomal RNA
Source: RNAcentral